CAGCCGCCGCGGUAAUACCGGCGGCCCGAGUGGCGGUCACUAUUAUUGGGCUUAAAGCGUCCGUAGCCGGGUUGGGAAGUCCUCCGGGAAAUCUGGCCGCUUAACGGUCAGAAUGCCGGAGGAUACUCCCAGCCUAGGGAGCGGGAGAGGCCGAGGGGAUUCCCGGAGUAGGGGGGAAAUCCUAUAAUCCCGGGAGGACCACCUGUGGCGAAGGCGCUCGGCUGGAACGCGUCCGACGGUGAGGGACGAAGGCCAGGGGAGCAAACCGGAUUAGAUACCCGGGUAGUCCUGGCUGUAAAGGAUGCGGGCUAGGUGUCGGGUGAGCUUCGAGCUCGCCCGGUGCCGUAGGGAAGCCGUUAAGCCCGCCGCCUGGGGAGUACGGCCGCAAGGCUGAAACUUAAAGGAAUUGGCGGG
Molecule: ribosomal RNA, 414 nt
Filed under: uncultured microorganism
Description: bacterial SSU rRNA
Rfam family: Archaeal small subunit ribosomal RNA
Source: RNAcentral